CUUCCCAACCUCCAUGAAAGCUUGAUAAAGAAAGCUCCACAACCUUCCUCAAAUAGCUCCAAAUUUCAUGCUUUUGGUGCACCCUUUCCAUAAACCCUUGUGCUCUUCCAUUCUCUCACUUUAAAACCCUUGAAAAAUCUUAUUUCCAUACUUUCUCUCACUAGUUAGGUGCUUUAGAGAGAGAAAGAGGAAGCUUCAAAAAUAGCUUGAAAGUUUUGGAAAGAAUUUCAAAUACAAGCUACCAAGGUGAGUAGUACACUAGAAUUGAGUUUUGGUGUUGAUAAUGAUUAGUGUUUAGAUUUGGGGGUGAAUUGUUAGUUGGGGUUGUUAAUUCAUUUUAGAGUGAUAAGGGUAGUGAGAAUAGAUAGCCAUUUAAAUGGCCAUUGAAAGCUAGCUAAGAGAAAGCUUUUAGAAUUUAUAAGUAUGUGGCUUGAAUUAAUGGUGAUACUAAUGUGAUAAUAGGUUCCAACGAAGCCCCAUCACCCCAUUUGGACAAUUAGAGAAGUAGAGUUGACAAAAGGUUCAACGAAAUAUCGGUGAGUGGACUUGCAUUUCAAACUUGUUUUGGGGAAUGUGAAUGAUUUUAUCCAACUUGUCUUUGAAAAUGUGUGCCAGGGAACAAGCCUUGAUUAAAUGUUUUUGAUAUUGUGAAAUGGGAGACGUGUCUAAGGAUGAAUCCAUAUGGUUAUUAUUAUGUUGGUAUGUAAGUAUAUAUCUUAUGAAUAUGUGCUACGUAUUGAUGAAUGAUGUUAGGUGGUGAUGUUGAGGUGUGCAAGUAGGGAGUGCACACAUGACAAUGAUAGAGUGUGCGAGUAGGGAGUGCACACAUGACGAUGAUGGAGUGUGUGAGUAAGGUAUGCACACAUGAUGAUGAUGUAUGUAUAUGUAAAUGUGUCUGUUAUAGAAAGGUCAUAAUAUGGUAUAUGGUUGAAAUGCCUAUGAAUUUGGCAUGUUGAACUUUGGAAAUCUUUAUGUGUUUUAUGUUGAUUUUGUCAUUUCAACAGGAUG
This 1008-nucleotide long non-coding RNA is filed under the name Theobroma cacao (cacao). RNAcentral's name for it is "long non-coding RNA (TCAC_LNC004649)". The record is from RNAcentral. Lineage: Eukaryota; Viridiplantae; Streptophyta; Magnoliopsida; Malvales; Malvaceae.